UGGCAGGUACANAGGGAUGCUACCGGGCGACCGGAUGCGGAUCUCGAAAGCCUGUCCCAGUUCGGACUGGAGUCUGCAACCCGACUCCACGAAGUUGGAUUCGCUAGUAAUCGCGCAUCAGCCAUGGCGCGGUGAAUACGUUCCCGGGCCUUGUACACACCGCCCGUCAAGCCAUGGGAGCCGGGGGCGCCUGAAGUCCGGGACCGCGAGGACCGGCCUAGGGCGAAACUGGUAACUGGGGCUAAGUCGUAACAAGGUAAC
This 261-nucleotide ribosomal RNA is filed under the name uncultured bacterium. RNAcentral's name for it is "partial 16S ribosomal RNA". It matches the Rfam family "Bacterial small subunit ribosomal RNA", at positions 1231 to 1500 of the family's 1533-position model. The record is from RNAcentral.